UACGGAGGGUGCAAACGUUGCUCGGACUCAUGGGGCGUAAAGCGCACGUCGGCGGCCCGGUAAGUCGGAUGUGAAAGCCCUCGGCUCAACUGAGGAAGUGCAUUCGAAACUGCUGGACUUGAGUACGGGAGAGGGAUGCGGAAUUCCCGGUGUAGAAGUGAAAUUCGUAGAUAUCGGGAGGAACACCAGUGGCGAAGGCGGCAUCCUGGACCGAUACUGACGCUGAGGUGCGAAAGCGUGGGGAGCAAACAGG
This 253-nucleotide ribosomal RNA is filed under the name uncultured bacterium. Its description in RNAcentral is "partial 16S ribosomal RNA". It matches the Rfam family "Bacterial small subunit ribosomal RNA", at positions 524 to 776 of the family's 1533-position model. The record is from RNAcentral.